UGCACCUUAGUAUAUGAUGUAUAUAGAUUUUUGAUAUCUACGGGAGUAGUUUAAUUCUACUAGGUGCAA
This 69-nucleotide transfer RNA is filed under the name Geoffmonteithia queenslanda. Its description in RNAcentral is "tRNA-Gln". Lineage: Eukaryota; Metazoa; Arthropoda; Insecta; Coleoptera; Cerambycidae. The record is from RNAcentral.